This 477-nucleotide ribosomal RNA is filed under the name uncultured bacterium. RNAcentral describes it as "bacterial SSU rRNA". It matches the Rfam family "Bacterial small subunit ribosomal RNA", at positions 22 to 518 of the family's 1533-position model. The record is from RNAcentral.
GGUCAGGACGAACGCUGGCGGCAUGCCUAACACAUGCAAGUCGAACGGGGGUAGCAAUACCCUAGUGGCGAACGGGUGAGUAACACAUAAGCAAUCUGCCCUUCACAGGGGGAUAACAGCGGGAAACUGCUGCUAAUACCGCAUAAGACCACGGUACCGCAUGGUACAGGGGUAAAAACGAAUCAGUGGUGAAGGAUGAGCUUAUGUCCCAUUAGCUAGUUGGUGAGAUAACAGCCCACCAAGGCGACGAUGGGUAGCCGACCUGAGAGGGUGAUCGGCCACACUGGAACUGAGACACGGUCCAGACUCCUACGGGAGGCAGCAGUGGGGAAUAUUGGGCAAUGGAGGAAAAACCUCUUACCCAGCAAUGCCGCGUGAGUGAAGAAGGUCUUCGGAUUGUAAAGCUCUUUGAUUGGGGACGAAGAGAGUGACGGUACCCAAAGAACAAGCCCCGGCUAACUACGUGCCAGCCGCCGC